Molecule: ribosomal RNA, 491 nt
Filed under: uncultured bacterium
Lineage: Bacteria
Description: partial 16S ribosomal RNA
Rfam family: Bacterial small subunit ribosomal RNA
Source: RNAcentral
AGUGAACGCUGGCGGUAGGCCUAACACAUGCAAGUCGAACGGCAGCACAGUAAGAGCUUGCUCUUACGGGUGGCGAGUGGCGGACGGGUGAGGAAUACAUCGGAAUCUACUUUUUCGUGGGGGAUAACGUAGGGAAACUUACGCUAAUACCGCAUACGACCUACGGGUGAAAGCAGGGGAUCUUCGGACCUUGCGCGAUUGAAUGAGCCGAUGUCGGAUUAGCUAGUUGGCGGGGUAAAGGCCCACCAAGGCGACGAUCCGUAGCUGGUCUGAGAGGAGGAUCAGCCACAGUGGAACUGAGACACGGUCCAGGCUCCUACGGGAGGCAGCAGUGGGGAAUAUUGGACAAUGGGCGCAAGCCUGAUCCAGCCAUACCGCGUGGGUGAAGAAGGCCUGCGGGUUGUAAAGCCCUUUUGUUGGGAAAGAAAAGCAGCAGGUUAAUACCCCGCUGUGCUGACGGUACCCAAAGAAUAAGCACCGGCUAACUUCGU